This 235-nucleotide long non-coding RNA is filed under the name Trifolium pratense (red clover). RNAcentral describes it as "long non-coding RNA (TPRA_LNC002927)". Lineage: Eukaryota; Viridiplantae; Streptophyta; Magnoliopsida; Fabales; Fabaceae. The record is from RNAcentral.
CUUGUUUUAAAUCACCACACCUGUAAUUUAAUAUUAUGAAUCACAUAAUCCACACCAAAACCUUCCUCGAUCAUUUCUAGAUUUCCAAAGCAUCGAAAUUGUCGCCAAUCAAAUGACUUUAAAGCUAUCUUUGAUCUUUAAAAAACGUAGCUGAAGGCCACUGAAGAUACGAGCAUAAAAAAGAGCAUUGUUGGGAAGGGCACCUUGAAUAUCCAACAAGUUCCGCACACCACAC